Molecule: ribosomal RNA, 254 nt
Filed under: uncultured bacterium
Lineage: Bacteria
Description: partial 16S ribosomal RNA
Rfam family: Bacterial small subunit ribosomal RNA
Source: RNAcentral
UACGAAGGGGGCUAGCGUUGCUCGGAAUUACUGGGCGUAAAGGGCGCGUAGGCGGGUCUUUAAGUCAGGGGGUGAAAUCCUGGAGCUCAACUCCAGAACUGCCUUUGAUACUGAAGAUCUUGAGUUCGGGAGAGGUGAGUGGAACUGCGAGUGUAGAGGUGAAAUUCGUAGAUAUUCGCAAGAACACCAGUGGCGAAGGCGGCUCACUGGCCCGGUACUGACGCUGAGGUGCGAAAGCGUGGGGAGCAAACAGG